Molecule: long non-coding RNA, 1088 nt
Organism: Camelina sativa (false flax)
Lineage: Eukaryota; Viridiplantae; Streptophyta; Magnoliopsida; Brassicales; Brassicaceae
Source: RefSeq, a predicted model, not a curated record
UGCUGCCCUUUGCAAUCUAUAGAAUCAAGGUUAUUCCAGAGACUUCUCUGAUUUGAUAUUUUUAAUGCUUCUGAGUUUCAACCGUCCGAACCUUUGAUCUGUAAUCUUUUCGGUACCCGAAAUCAACCUUUAAUCCAUUCCAAUUUUUUUCCAUUUUUAAAUACCUCAUUGUCCUAAAAGGUAAUUGAACUUGAGGCAUCAAGGAACCAAACCCUUUGUACUACCACUAAGGCACCAAGGUUUUGGUUAGUGUAGAGUAUAUUGGAUUGGAACCUAAGGUCAUCCCCAUCAAAGAAUUUAAUGAGUUGCUUAGGAGUUGCUAAAGUAUUUUUACAGAUUAAAUUUAAUUCUUUUUGUAUGAUUUAGCUUAGGAUCGAUGGUUAGGUAAGAUGUUUUAGAUUUGUUCAGAAACUUGGGUGUGUCAGUUUUUGAUUGGAUGAGUGAAAAAUAAAGUUUUUUUUUUGUUAUGUGGUUUUCUCUCUCUCGUCUCUCUCCCGAUGGAUGGCAAUACUCCACAUAGAAGAAGCCGAGAAUUGAUUUCACCGGAGGCAUCAUAUCUCCACUGUAAGAGACACUAUCGACGAUCUCGGUUCAUCAAUCCGGGAGCCAAUUGAUUGACCAAAUCGGAAAUUUUAGUUGCCAAAUCUCCAACGGGGUGGUUCAAUGAUGCUGUGCUGCUGAUUCUCAAGUUGUUUCAAAUUUUGAUAUACAGGAUAUCUUUAACUAAAUAAACAACAUGUGUUCAGAUUAAAGAUUACACUACAACAAUCUCUCUCAUGGAAUUCUUCGAUUGUCCGCAACAAUUCUCUCUCUCUUGGAUUCCAUCGCGAUUUACUCGGCGUUCCGCGAGCUACUCAGUUUCGACAGAGUUUGAAUUCUUGGAAUCCAAUUCUAAAGAGCUAUGGUUUGUGAUUUUUGUGUUCAGAUUGAUAUCUUGAAAGUGGAGCGGAUUUGGUGAAACAUAGAGAUCCAUCUUCUGUUGCAGGUUUUUAUUUCUAUAUUGGUUGUGUUCUUGCUUUUAUUAUAAAGAACUAUGCAAUCUCUUGUAUUAUGUGUUUUUUUGUAUCAAUAUAGUGAUACUCACUCUU